This 468-nucleotide ribosomal RNA is filed under the name uncultured bacterium. RNAcentral's name for it is "partial 16S ribosomal RNA". It matches the Rfam family "Bacterial small subunit ribosomal RNA", at positions 28 to 507 of the family's 1533-position model. The record is from RNAcentral.
GACGAACGCUGGCGGCGUGCUUAACACAUGCAAGUCGAACGGAAAGGCCCUGCUUUUGUGGGGUGCUCGAGUGGCGAACGGGUGAGUAACACGUGAGUAACCUGCCCUUGACUUUGGGAUAACUUCAGGAAACUGGGGCUAAUACCGGAUAGGAGCUCCUGCUGCAUGGUGGGGGUUGGAAAGUUUCGGCGGUUGGGGAUGGACUCGCGGCUUAUCAGCUUGUUGGUGGGGUAGUGGCUUACCAAGGCUUUGACGGGUAGCCGGCCUGAGAGGGUGACCGGGCACAUGGGGACUGAGAUACGGCGCAGUCUGCUACGUGAGGCAGCAGUGGGGAGUAUUGCACAAUGGGGGGAAGCCUGAUGCAGCAACGCCGCGUGCGUGAUGACGGCCUUCGGGUUGUAAACCGCUUUCGCCGGUGACGAAGCGUGAGUGACGGUAAUGGGUAAAGAAGCACCGGCUAACUACGUG